UUUUAUUUUGUAGUUUCAUGUCUCUUGUGUCCCUGGGUUAGCUUCACUUCCUGCCUUGUCCUGUGAUUGCCUGAUUGUUUCCACCUGUCUCCAAUCACCUGCACCUCCCUAGUGUAUUUAAGCCCUGUGCGCCUAUUAUCCCCUGUUGCGUCAUUGUCAAGUCAACUCGUCGUUGGUGAACGUCUUUCUGCUUUGUUUUGGAAUAAAGAGCACCUUUUGGAAACUUUGAAGACCCUGCGUUUGAGUCCUGCCUCCGACCUGCACCAGCAGCACAGCCCCUGACACUUUUUUACAUCCACUCAGCAAAAAGCUGGACAGGACUUGUAAAUCAUGCACACUCCUCUACCAGAUUAUCAUCUUAUCCAUGGACACACCAGCGACGUUCACUUCAUCAAACACAGCUGCCAAUGCCUCCUUUCUGUUCGCCCCUUGUUUGUUUAGUCUCCUGCCUCCUUACAGAUGAAAGGCUGCAAUAGAGUUAAUCUGCUGUCGGUGUGCUUCAUAAGCAGAGAGCACGAGAAAGAGAGGGGCUCUCACCCAACCGCAGUGGGUGAGCAGGGGAGAGCGGUGAAGUGCCAGCUGUGACGGAGGAAACGUGGUGAAGACAGCAAGGCUCCACAUAGGGGGUCCAUUCGAUCCAACGCCGGCGCCGGAUGGAGAGCGCAGUAACGUCACUGCAUGCCUUUACAUAAGCGACUGGCUCGCAGAUGAAAAUGUCUACAGUGGCAGCAUAAAUCAAUGUCGAGGUGAAAUAUUAAUCCACUUUCAUUUAAAAUUCCCCUUCAAAUGUAGUAUUUGUGGAUGCCAGGCAGGGUGGCCCUUUGAAGCCGCAUGGCGCCAACAAACCCUUUGACUAAAGAUGAGGUUUAAAGGAAAACACUCCUGUCUGAACGUUGUUGUUUUUCGCUUUGUGGAUGUUUGUACUUUCUUUAUCACGACUGAUUACUUUUUGAAUUGUUGCUCCUCCAAAUCCGCCCAUGGGUAGUGCAUCGUGAUAUUAAAACUAAUGUGAUACAACUGUUAAUGACUGACAAUCGUGUUCCCAGGUGCCCGGGACGAAAAGCAACCAGCCAGAACAGAAGCGCUGGCCAUCGGGUAGAUGAUGCUCACUAACACAAGCUGUUUGAGGAAAAUGCUCCUUAAAAAAGAAACUCCAUCAAUUUUACACAUCAAAGUCAGAGUAAUUACUCCAAAAGGAAUUAGGUUUCCAGGCUGUAGAGGGCAUGAGUAGUGCCCCGUACUCGGUGUCGGGAGCUGACCGACACUAAAAGUCACGAAACGGAAAAGUCUGCUUUAUUUCAUAUUUAUUGAGUUUUCAUGAUGUGUUCAAAUAUAUAAUCUUUUUACAUUUUACAUUUUUGAAUGUGUGUUUUUAAGCACAUGGGAUUCAUUUUUGUUCUUUAACCAUGAUAACACACUGAGUAUUGAGAAUUUAACUGUCAUUGGUAUAAACUACUAGAUUUCUGGUAUUAUGGUGUUAUUACUGACAAAUAAAGAUUCAAACAAAACCGGCAGUGAACUGCUCAUUCGCAAAUUAACUCGUACAAUGCUGUUGACAAUAAACCAACACUCUAUGUGUUGUGUUCACUUUUAAUGCGUUCAUCUCUCUUUCACUAACCCUUUCUCUGUCAUGUUGAGAUUAGCAGCUUAAUGUCAGGUGCUGCAUGCUACAGGUAUUUCUGCAGGAUGUAUUCACUGUACUUCUCAUUUAAUUAUCACGUGCAGCACAAUAUUGAUAUUUGUAAAUGGAGAGUGCGCACACGCUGCCAAUAAUGCGUUGCUGCAGGCAGGCUCGGACUUCUUUCUACUAGUGGCUUCGGUCAUGUGAGGACAGCAGCAGGGAUACGCUGGAAAAGCUUCAACACAUGCAGUACUGAAUGUCUACAUGGUUUUGUUAGGUUACAGGGUUGCGUUUGCUAAGCAAGAAGCAAUAUUUAAGGCGUUGUAUUCCCUUUUGCUUCACGUCACAAUUAUGAAGCGUGAUACAGUUAUAGGCUUUUUGGAAAGGAGAAAGACUCAUUUAUGUUAUGGUUGGCUGUUUGUUGAGCGUAGAAAAGACACACAGGAAUAUAUUUAUAUAUGGAAAAAGGGUUGAAUGAAGUCAGUACAACAUUCAGCCUGUGCCGUGGCAGGGUUUCUACACGCUUUUAUUCCCCUCUUCGAAGCAAGAAACUACACUCACAGUCCAAACACCACAGUUCUCAUAAAAGGGUGACCGCCCUAUCUUAUUACUUUAGAUCUCAUCCUUCCACACUUGAGGGAUGUUGUCUCUGACCUAAGUCAUUAAACUCCCCAGUCUUUUAUAAUAAAGGUCACUCACUCAUACUCAAAAGUCCACUACUCUUAUUGUCACCAACCCUGGCGAAAAUAUAAUGAAAGCCCACAUUGGGAACAUCUCCUGCUCUCCAACGAUGUCAGCAGCGGCCCCCUCCCCCGGUGACAAUUCCUUUGCUUUGGUGUCAAAAUGUGUGCUUUGCCCUCCACAUAGAAAAAAUGUCCCUAUCCACUUGAGCUGACACGAUGAAGGCAAACCAAUGGUAUUGCAUUGUAUCCACAGUCUCCACUGGUGAAUGUAAAUAAACAUGAUGGUAUUUCAGACAUUGGAUGAUCUCUCUGGUUCUCCACAUGAUAUCAGCGAUGCGGUAUGUAACAAUUUAUCCUUCAAUAUUGCUUCAGUGUGUGUUUGAAUCUAGUGCAUGUACCCUGCAAAGUGCACAUAUGACUGUGUAUAAGAGCGCAAAGGAUGUUUGUCACGUGGCUCUUAAAGGGCGCACUUAGUAGCCGAGGACUCUCAAAGGUCCCAUAACAUUUUUUAUGAGCGCAAAUUAAGCCAAAUGCAAGAAAGAGAACAAAUCGAAUAUCUUAGAGACGUGUGGAUGGAAGGAUACUAGCGCAGUGCAAAGAGGCCACAGGACCAGUGAAGGCAGAAACUGAUAAAAACCUUGAGUGUUGCACUGCAUC
This is a long non-coding RNA of Pungitius pungitius (ninespine stickleback), 2961 nucleotides long. RefSeq lists it as uncharacterized. NCBI's taxonomy places the organism in Eukaryota, Metazoa, Chordata, Actinopteri, Perciformes, Gasterosteidae. The transcript has 3 exons. The record is from RefSeq and is a predicted model, not a curated record.